Molecule: ribosomal RNA, 448 nt
Filed under: uncultured bacterium
Lineage: Bacteria
Description: partial 16S ribosomal RNA
Rfam family: Bacterial small subunit ribosomal RNA
Source: RNAcentral
GUGAACGCUGGCGGCAUGUCUAAGGCAUGCAAGUCUAUCUUGUCGCAAGACAGGAUGGCAAACGGGAGAGUAACACAUUAGUAAUCUACCUCUAUCUUGAGUAUAACCCAAAGAAAUUUGGGACAAUCCUCGAUAGUCAUGGGGGGACGCAAGUCAUUCCCAUGUAAAGCUUCGGCGGAUAGAGAGGAGCUUAUGACCUAUCAGUUAGUUGGUGAGGUAAUGGCUCACCAAGGCAAUGACGGGUAGCGGUUCUGAGAGGAUGAUCCGCCACACUGGUACUGAGACACGGACCAGACUCCUACGGGAGGCAGCAGUGAGGAAUAUUGCACAAUGGGGGGAACCCUGAUGCAGCAACGCCGCGUGGAGGAUGACGCAUUUCGGUGUGUAAACUCCUUUUAUAUGUCAAGAAAAUGACGGUAGCAUAUGAAUAAGCACCGGCUAACUCCGU